GACGAACGCUGGCGGCGUGCUUAACACAUGCAAGUCGAACGGAAAGGCCCUGCUUUUGUGGGGUGCUCGAGUGGCGAACGGGUGAGUAACACGUGAGUAACCUGCCCUUGACUUUGGGAUAACUUCAGGAAACUGGGGAUAAUACCGGAUAGGAGCUCCUGCUGCAUGGUGGGGGUUGGAAAGUUUCGGCGGUUGGGGAUGGACUCGCGGCUUAUCAGCUUGUUGGUGGGGUAGUGGCUUACCAAGGCUUUGACGGGUAGCCGGCCUGGGAGGGUGACCGGCCACAUUGGGACUGGGAUACGGCCCGGACUCCUACGGGAGGCAGCAGUGGGGAAUAGUGCACAAUGGGCGGAAGCCGGAUGCAGCAACGCCGCGUGCGGGAUGACGGCCUUCGGGUUGUAAACCGCUUUCGCCUGUGACGAAGCGUGAGUGACGGUAAUGGGUAAAGAAGCACCGGCUAACUACGUG
Molecule: ribosomal RNA, 468 nt
Filed under: uncultured bacterium
Lineage: Bacteria
Description: partial 16S ribosomal RNA
Rfam family: Bacterial small subunit ribosomal RNA
Source: RNAcentral